This 253-nucleotide ribosomal RNA is filed under the name uncultured bacterium. Its description in RNAcentral is "partial 16S ribosomal RNA". It matches the Rfam family "Bacterial small subunit ribosomal RNA", at positions 524 to 776 of the family's 1533-position model. The record is from RNAcentral.
UACGUAGGGGGCGAGCGUUGUCCGGAUUUACUGGGCGUAAAGCGCGUGUAGGUGGGGAAGCAAGUCCGGUGGGAAAGCCCGCGGCUCAACCGCGGAAGUUCGCUGGAAACUGCUACUCUUGAGGGUGAUAGAGGGAAGUGGAAUUGCUGGUGUAGCGGUGAAAUGCGUAGAUAUCAGGAGGAACACCCAUUGCGAAGGCAGCUCGCUGGGACGUUACUGACGCUGAGACGCGAAAGCGUGGGGAGCAAACAGG